Molecule: ribosomal RNA, 498 nt
Filed under: uncultured bacterium
Lineage: Bacteria
Description: partial 16S ribosomal RNA
Rfam family: Bacterial small subunit ribosomal RNA
Source: RNAcentral
AUUGAACGCUGGCGGCAUGCCUUACACAUGCAAGUCGAACGGUAACAGGUCUUCGGAUGCUGACGAGUGGCGAACGGGUGAGUAAUACAUCGGAACGUGCCUAGUAGUGGGGGAUAACUACUCGAAAGAGUGGCUAAUACCGCAUGAGAUCUACGGAUGAAAGCAGGGGAUCGCAAGACCUUGUGCUACUAGAGCGGCCGAUGGCAGAUUAGGUAGUUGGUGGGAUAAAAGCUUACCAAGCCGACGAUCUGUAGCUGGUCUGAGAGGACGAUCAGCCACACUGGGACUGAGACACGGGCAAGACUCCUACGGGAGGCAGCAGUGGGGAAUUUUGGACAAUGGGCGAAAGCCUGAUCCAGCAAUGCCGCGUGCAGGAUGAAGGCCUUCGGGUUGUAAACUGCUUUUGUACGGAACGAAAAGCCCCGGGUUAAUACCCUGGGGUCAUGACGGUACCGUAAGAAUAAGCACCGGCUAACUACGUGCCAGCCGCCACCGUAA